GCAACAUGUGCUAGCAUGUCAAUUUUACAAACAUGAUCUAAUCUAAUUAGACCCAUGAUCAAUACUCUUUAUGUGUGACCCAUUGGGUUUCAUAUCUAGCUAGCAAUAGGUCUGAGUUCAAGUCAAUUUGAUUUGAUUAGAAUUUAAUCUAAUCGAUCUAGAUCCAAUCGAACUAAUCCGAUGUCAGCAAUCAGAACUCUUUCUAAUUGGUGAUUGAAUUAAACUCUUUAAUUUGAUCAAACUCAUAAGACAAGAUUGACGUCUAGCAAUGUAUCAUGUCUACCUAAAAGAUAUAAAAUUUUUGAUGAAAAUAUCAAAAAUAUCCUUCAGUGAAAAGUU
RNAcentral lists this long non-coding RNA (339 nucleotides) under Elaeis guineensis (African oil palm). Its description in RNAcentral is "long non-coding RNA (EGUI_LNC057376)". The record is from RNAcentral. Lineage: Eukaryota; Viridiplantae; Streptophyta; Magnoliopsida; Arecales; Arecaceae.